This 209-nucleotide long non-coding RNA is filed under the name Lathyrus oleraceus (garden pea). Its description in RNAcentral is "Pisum sativum (pea) long non-coding RNA (PSAT_LNC004398)". The record is from RNAcentral. Lineage: Eukaryota; Viridiplantae; Streptophyta; Magnoliopsida; Fabales; Fabaceae.
AUUGGCGUACGCCAUAUUGCUCGGAUCUUCGUCAUUUAAUUUAAAUCACUAUCAUACAAGUUCAAAUCAUCUUUAAAUCCAAACCUACAAAUCCAAAAUUCAAACUAUUUUCGUAAAUCAAAUACAUCAUCCAAACAUAUCUUUCUUAAAAUUAAACUUCGGACGAUAAGAGAUGGGAGGCGUACGCCUCACAAUCUCUCGAUUAUUUG